RNAcentral lists this ribosomal RNA (253 nucleotides) under uncultured bacterium. RNAcentral's name for it is "partial 16S ribosomal RNA". It matches the Rfam family "Bacterial small subunit ribosomal RNA", at positions 524 to 776 of the family's 1533-position model. The record is from RNAcentral.
UACGUAGGUCGCAAGCGUUGUCCGGAUUUACUGGGCGUAAAGAGCGUGUAGGCGGCUGGUCAAGUCCGAUGUGAAAUCUCCCGGCUCAACUGGGAAACUGCAUCGGAAACUGCUCGGCUUGAAGAUGGGAGAGGGUAGUGGAAUUCCCGGUGUAGUGGUGAAAUGCGUAGAUAUCGGGAGGAACACCAGUGGCGAAGGCGACUACCUGGCCCAUACUUGACGCUGAGACGCGAAAGCUAGGGGAGCGAACGGG